RNAcentral lists this ribosomal RNA (716 nucleotides) under uncultured Providencia sp. Its description in RNAcentral is "bacterial SSU rRNA". It matches the Rfam family "Bacterial small subunit ribosomal RNA", at positions 785 to 1502 of the family's 1533-position model. The record is from RNAcentral. Lineage: Bacteria; Pseudomonadati; Pseudomonadota; Gammaproteobacteria; Enterobacterales; Morganellaceae.
ACCUGGUAGUCACGCUGUAAACGAUGUCGAUUUGGAGGUUGUUCCCUUGAGGAGUGGCUUCCGGAGCUAACGCGUUAAAUCGACCGCUGGGGAGUACGGCCGCAAGGUUAAAACUCAAAUGAAUUGACGGGGGCCCGCACAAGCGGUGGAGCAUGUGGUUUAAUUCGAUGCAACGCGAAGAACCUUACCUACUCUUGACAUCCAGAGAAUUUAGCAGAGAUGCUUUAGUGCCUUCGGGAACUCUGAGACAGGUGCUGCAUGGCUGUCGUCAGCUCGUGUUGUGAAAUGUUGGGUUAAGUCCCGCAACGAGCGCAACCCUUAUCCUUUGUUGCCAGCACAUUAUGGUGGGAACUCAAAGGAGACUGCCGGUGAUAAACCGGAGGAAGGUGGGGAUGACGUCAAGUCAUCAUGGCCCUUACGAGUAGGGCUACACACGUGCUACAAUGGCGUAUACAAAGAGAAGCGACCUCGCGAGAGCAAGCGGAACUCAUAAAGUACGUCGUAGUCCGGAUUGGAGUCUGCAACUCGACUCCAUGAAGUCGGAAUCGCUAGUAAUCGUAGAUCAGAAUGCUACGGUGAAUACGUUCCCGGGCCUUGUACACACCGCCCGUCACACCAUGGGAGUGGGUUGCAAAAGAAGUAGGUAGCUUAACCUUCGGGAGGGCGCUUACCACUUUGUGAUUCAUGACUGGGGUGAAGUCGUAACAAGGUAACCA